GACGAACGCUGGCGGCGUGCCUAAUACAUGCAAGUUGAGCGCUGAAGGUUGGUACUUGUACCAACUGGAUGAGCAGCGAACGGGUGAGUAACGCGUGGGGAAUCUGCCUUUGAGCGGGGGACAACAUUUGGAGACGAAUGCUAAUACCGCAUAAAAACUUUAAACACAAGUUUUAAGUUUGAAAGAUGCAAUUGCAUCACUCAAAGAUGAUCCCGCGUUGUAUUAGCUAGUUGGUGAGGUAAAGGCUCACCAAGGCGAUGAUACAUAGCCGACCUGAGAGGGUGAUCGGCCACAUUGGGACUGAGACACGGCCCAAACUCCUACGGGAGGCAGCAGUAGGGAAUCUUCGGCAAUGGACGAAAGUCUGACCGAGCAACGCCGCGGGAGUGAAGAAGGGUGUCGGAUCGUAAAACUCUGUUGGUAGAGAAGAACGUUGGUGAGAGUGGAAAGCUCAUCAAGUGACGGUAACUACCCAGAAAGGGACGGCUAACUACGUG
This 497-nucleotide ribosomal RNA is filed under the name uncultured bacterium. Its description in RNAcentral is "partial 16S ribosomal RNA". It matches the Rfam family "Bacterial small subunit ribosomal RNA", at positions 28 to 507 of the family's 1533-position model. The record is from RNAcentral.